UACGUAGGUGGCAAGCGUUUGUCCGGAAUUAUUGGGUGUAAAGCGCGCGCAGGCGGUCCUUUAAGUCUGAUGUGAAAGCCCACGGCUCAACCGUGGAGGGUCAUUGGAAACUGGGGGACUUGAGUGCAGAAGAGGAGAGUGGAAUUCCACGUGUAGCGGUGAAAUGCGUAGAGAUGUGGAGGAACACCAGUGGCGAAGGCGACUCUCUGGUCUGUAACUGACGCUGAGGCGCGAAAGCGUGGGGAGCAAACAGG
RNAcentral lists this ribosomal RNA (254 nucleotides) under uncultured bacterium. RNAcentral describes it as "partial 16S ribosomal RNA". It matches the Rfam family "Bacterial small subunit ribosomal RNA", at positions 524 to 776 of the family's 1533-position model. The record is from RNAcentral.